This 253-nucleotide ribosomal RNA is filed under the name uncultured prokaryote. RNAcentral's name for it is "partial 16S ribosomal RNA". It matches the Rfam family "Bacterial small subunit ribosomal RNA", at positions 525 to 777 of the family's 1533-position model. The record is from RNAcentral.
ACGGAGGGUGCGAGCGUUGUCCGGAAUCAUUGGGCGUAAAGGGCGCGUAGGUGGCCCGGUCAGCGUGCGGUGAAAGCUCGGGGCUCAACCCCGAGUCGGCCGUGCGAACUGCUGGGCUCGAGCACUGUAGAGGCAGGCGGAAUUCCGGGUGUAGCGGUGGAAUGCGUAGAGAUCCGGAAGAACACCGGUGGCGAAGGCGGCCUGCUGGGCUUGGUCUGACGCUGAGGCGCGAAAGCGUGGGGAGCGAACAGGA